UGAACAACGAUGAACGUGAUCCCGUGUAUUUAGGGCUACCAGAGUUUUCUAAACUUCUAGAUGAUUGAUUUUAAAUUUUAAUCGUCAGGAAGUAAACCAGCUGAACCUAUGAAAGACAAAAAUUCCAAAGUUCCUCAACGUCCAGACCAGAACCAUCAGGGACUUCACCCUCGGAUCAACCGAUUUCCUCGCGAACAUCCACCCCAAACACCAUUUGAGACUUGCCCAUUGCCUGUUGUUCUGCGUGAACAUCUGAACUAUCAGUAACCAAAUUGGGCUGGUACAAUUCUCUUUACGAAUUUGCCAUCACUCUUCCUCCAACUCUUUCAGUAAUGAUAUGUACAAAUAAUAGUGACACACAUCAUUUUCCUUUGAUUCAGCCUGAUACAUAAAUCUCUUGUGGGCUUGUGGUGUGUGGGUAGUCGAAAUAACCUGUGGUUGUGCCAUUGUUCUUGGCUCCACUUACCCACCCAUAUCUCCUCCUUUUCCAUCCAUCACAGGGGCAGAUGCUAAUAUAUAUUUCAGCCUCCCAUCAUCAAUAUAGCUAUACCAUCUCGUUGGAGUUCUUUCAAUAAUUCUGACUUAUGUAUAUAACUCGGGCCCACCAUCUUAACACUAAACUUUUUGCUACUCUCGGGCACCCUAACCUCAAUUCAAUUUAUAAUGCGUCCUGGUUACUAAGUGAUGUUGGCCUUAACCUAACUAAUACUCAUCCUACUUAUUUCCACGAUUUCAUGGCUAAAUAUCAUCAAUUAGUUAAUCUCAAUCUGAAAAUAGUUUGGGUUUUUCUCUUAUCCUUGUUUUGUUCUUAUUCCUUUUAUUAAAAUUGGGUUCUUCAUCAACAACUUAUUUUCCUUCAGACGCGGGAAAUAAAAUGACGUUUAAUUUGUAUCUCAGAGUUAUCCGGACAUAUACAAAGUACAGAAUACAUUUCAUCCUGGUGAAUUUGCUAUACAAAAUUUGCUUUUCAAAACGUUAAUAGAACUAUAGACUGCGUAUUUUAAAUACAGCCAAAAUACGUUUUCAAGUCUACAAUAAAUAACAAAAACCGCUUGUUGCACCAUAAAAUUAGACCACCAAGCCCAAUGUUAAGAUAUGCAUAUGUAGUGUAUUUAUCUAGAUUAAAUUGAAUGAUUUUGGGAUUUCUUUCAAUGUAAUAGAUUGCAAUAAAAUAAAUAAAGAAAAUUCAACGCUAGCACACGUUUCUUGUUUGUCUCCCGGCUUGAUGAAUGAGUUUCAUCACUAAUGCAUAAAUUCUUAACUUGACGAAUGCUCAAACUAGUUUGCAUCUUAAUUUUCCUCACUUUGAUACAUUUCAAUACAUUUUAUUCUGCAUACCAAUGAUGGUGGCAAUUGAAGUACACACAUCUGUAUGUCCUGUAUGUACUUCAAGACCCUAUUUUUUAAUUGUAGAAUAUAUGUAGAAUUAUGCACAACUUGACCGCCAAAAUUUCAUUGUUCAUUGGGCUUGAGAAGUAUAAAAGAAGAGGCCUAUACCGCCAAUUAUUCAUUUACAUUAACAGUUUCACACCUCAAAGCACGUAUCGCACCUUCAGUAAACCUUCACAAACAUGGCGACUACACAGGGAGACGACAAAUCUGCGGGCCCUCAUUGUGAAACAAAAAGGCGAUAUUGUGAGACUUGUCAUCAGGCCCCGAUUUAGGGGCGGGCAACCCGGGCAGCUGCCCGGGGCGCCAAACCCCGGAGGGGUGCCGGUAGGCGCCCCGGAGGGGUGCCGGUAGGCGCCCCGGUUUACACUAGAUAUAAUUGAAUUUUCCUGUUGUAAAUUUUGAAAUUAUUUUGCUUGGAGUUUUUAUUUUUAUCAAGUUUGGACAACUCGUUGCGACAGUUCUGGUGUGUUGAGGCACCACUGCAAUUUUUGAAACGCGCAGCUUCUAAAUUUUCACCCAUGCUCUAAAUAGAGGGAUUUUAUGCAGAAAUUUGGCUGGGUUUUACGCAGAGAAUUGGCUGGAUUUUGUACAGAAAAAAUGUAUGCCGAAACAAUUUAUGCACAAAAUGUGCAAAAUUAUGCAUAAUUGUACUAAACCUUUCUGCAGAAUCAUUCAUACAUAGUUUUUCUGCACAAACCAUUCUUCCGGCCAAUUGUGUAGAAUUAUUUCAAUUCGACAUACAUACGAUUUUCACUAGGGAUGGAAUAAAUUUUACAUUUUUACAUUUUACGAGAAUUUUAAAACUAAAUCGGAGGGUUAGUGAUAAAAAAUUGCUUAGGAAAAAUUACACUGAGGAUGAAUUUCGGGAUAUUUCUAAAUUAGGUAAAAACGUUACCUAGUUAAAACUGCUCAUUGAAAUCUAGAAGAAUACAGGAAAACUUUAAAUUUUUGUAAUUUGAAAAUAAAACGCAAAAAAAUAAAAAAUCUUAAAUAAACAUGUCCCCAAGGGUCAGUGAGUCAGCGGACGGAGCGGAUGUGCGCUUCGCGCACAUCCGCUCGGCUUGGUUUGACCUGCAUAUGAGGUCAGCGUUAGACUUACCUGGCCUCUGGGGAGGUGGGAAAGUAUGGUUUUAACUCGAAAUAAACCGGGGAGGCCCAAAUAUAUGAGUUGUAUUUGAGAAAUAAGCUUUUAAGUUGAAUCUGUGGCCUACAAAUAUUGAUCUGCUCAAUAUUACGCAAAUUUUAAGCUAUUCCACAUUAAAACUGCUGGAGAGUAAAAAGUUUGCUAUCUCAUUGUAUAUGUCCAUUCUAAUAAGACCUGCGUAAAAAUAUUUUGCGCAAUUAUUUGAUUGAGAAAAAAGUCACGUGCGAGCGCCGAAGGCGCGAGCGGCUAUGGGCGCCUAAUUUCUUUGCCCAGGUAAGAUUUUGGGGUAGAUCGGGGCCUGCUUGUCAUACAACUUUCGUAAGUACAUCAUAUUUACCUAGGACAGUGAAGAAAAGAAACGACUAGAGAAGAAGGUCGAGCAAAAUUGCGAGACCUUCCACAAGAUAUUAAAGCGCCGAAAUCAAGAGUUGUUUCGUGGAAUGACCAACAGUAGCCGUGACCAACUGCUGCUGUUGGGUCACAUCGCAGCUAUUUACUUCCAAUUAAGUUCCCCACCUGCAGCAGCCCUGAGAAUUCCCCAGCCAAGCAGCCCAGAACCCAACAACCAUAAUGCGUAAUAGCGUAUUAUGUAAGAGUAAUAAUAUAUUAUGUAAAGAUGAAAUGAAAUUUUGUCCAGUCUUGAAAGAUUGAAAUAAAUUUGGUUAAAUUAUGAA
Long non-coding RNA from Folsomia candida, 3210 nucleotides. RefSeq lists it as uncharacterized. NCBI's taxonomy places the organism in Eukaryota, Metazoa, Arthropoda, Collembola, Entomobryomorpha, Isotomidae. The transcript has 2 exons. The record is from RefSeq and is a predicted model, not a curated record.